GAAUUUUAUAUAAAAGUUUAUAAAUAAAAUAUGUUUUAAUUAUGGAUUAUAAAUAUUUAUAUUUUAUUGGGGAGAUAAUUAAAUUAAUAAAACUUUAUAAGAAAUUGUACAUUAAUUUAUGAAAAUUUAGAAUUAAAUUUAUAUUAUUAGAAUUAAUUACCUUAGGGAUAACAGCGUUAAAUUUUUAGAGAGAUCAUAUUGAUAAAAAUUAUUGC
RNAcentral lists this ribosomal RNA (215 nucleotides) under Ectatomma lugens. RNAcentral describes it as "partial large subunit ribosomal RNA". The record is from RNAcentral. Lineage: Eukaryota; Metazoa; Arthropoda; Insecta; Hymenoptera; Formicidae.